This 324-nucleotide small nuclear RNA is filed under the name Castor canadensis (American beaver). Its description in RNAcentral is "7SK RNA (ENSCCNG00000007458.1)". It matches the Rfam family "7SK RNA". Rfam says of the family: 7SK was discovered as an abundant small nuclear RNA in the mid-70s but a possible function has only recently been suggested. Two independent studies have found that 7SK RNA binds the CDK9/cyclin T complex (known as elongation factor P-TEFb). The record is from Rfam by way of RNAcentral. Lineage: Eukaryota; Metazoa; Chordata; Mammalia; Rodentia; Castoridae.
GGAUGUGAGGGCGAUCUGGCUGCGACAUCUGUCACCCCAUUGAUCGCCAGGGUUGAUUCGGCUGAUCUGGCUGGCUAGGCGGGUGUCCCCUUCCUCCCUCACCGCUCCAUGUGCGUCCCUCCCGAAGCUGCGCGCUCGGUCGAAGAGGACGACCAUCCCCGAUAGAGGAGGACCGUUCUUCGGUCAAGGGUAUACGAGUAGCUGCGCUCCCCUGCUAGAACCUCCAAACAAGCUCUCAAGAAGAAAUAUUAGUCCUUAACAUAUAUGCACCAAACACAGGGGCACAGAUAGAUGUUAACACAGGGAGACCUGCUACCCCACUGU